GACGAACGCUGGCGGCGUGCUUAACACAUGCAAGUCGAACGGAAAGGCCCUGCUUGCAGGGUACUCGAGUGGCGAACGGGUGAGUAACACGUGUGUGAUCUGCCCUGCACUUCUGGAUAAGCCUGGGGAACUGGGUCUAAUACCAGAUAGGGGCCAUUUUUAGUGUUAUUGUUGGAAAGUUUGUUCGGUGUAGGAUGAGCGCGCGGCCUAUCAGCUUGUUUGUGGGGUAAUGGCCUACCAAGGCGGCGACGGGUAGCCGGCCUGAGAGGGUGGACGGCCCCAGUGGGACUGAGAUAAGGCCCCGACGCCUAAGGGAGGCAGCAGGGGGGAAUAUUGCACAAUGGGCGCAAGCCUGAUGCCGCCAAGCCGCGUGGGGGAUGACGGCCUUCGGGUUGUAAACUCCUUUCGCUAGGGAAGAAGCUUUUUGUGACGGUACCUAGAUAAGAAGCACCGGCUAACUACGUG
RNAcentral lists this ribosomal RNA (465 nucleotides) under uncultured bacterium. RNAcentral describes it as "partial 16S ribosomal RNA". It matches the Rfam family "Bacterial small subunit ribosomal RNA", at positions 28 to 507 of the family's 1533-position model. The record is from RNAcentral.